ACGGAGGCGGCGCCUGAAGCGGCGGCGGAGCCCAUGCCCCGGGACGGCGGGUGGGCCCGGAGAGACAAAUCCGGGGCCCGGGGCAUGUCCCCGGGGCCCCCGUGAGGAGGCGGCGGCGGCUAUGGAGAUCGCGCCGCAGGAGGCGCCGCCCGUGCCGGGCGCGGACGGCGACAUUGAAGAGGCCCCAGCUGAGGCCGGGUCUCCCAGCCCCGCGUCGCCCCCCGCCGAUGGGCGCCUCAAGGCUGCAGCCAAGCGCGUCACAUUCCCGUCCGACGAGGAUAUCGUGUCUGGAGCAGUGGAGCCCAAAGACCCCUGGAGACAUGGCUGGAGUGCAAUGGCGCGAUCUCAGGUCAUCACAACUUCCGCCUCCCAGGUUCAAGCGAUUCUGCCACAGCCUCCCGAGUUGCUGGGAUUACAGGCAUGCACCACCACACCCGGCUAAUUUUGUAUGUUUUGUAGAGACAGGAUUUCUCCAUGUUGGUCAGGCUGGUCUGUAACUCCCGACCUCAGGUGAUCCACCCGCCUUGGCCUCCCAAAGUCUGGGAUGACAGG
RNAcentral lists this small RNA (552 nucleotides) under Pan troglodytes (chimpanzee). Its description in RNAcentral is "processed transcript". Lineage: Eukaryota; Metazoa; Chordata; Mammalia; Primates; Hominidae. The record is from RNAcentral.